AGAGUUUGAUCAUGGCUCAGGAUGAACGCUAGCGGCAGGCUUAAUACAUGCAAGUCGUGGGGCAGCGCAGUGUAGCAAUACAUGGGCGGCGACCGGCAAACGGGUGCGGAACACGUACGCAACUUUCCUUUAAGUGGGGAAUAGCCCGGCGAAAGCCGGAUUAAUACCCCGUAAUAUUAUUGGGUGGCAUCACCUGAUAAUUAUAGCAGCAAUGCGCUUGAAGAUGGGCGUGCGCCUGAUUAGGUAGUUGGCGGAGUAAUAGCCCACCAAGCCUACGAUCAGUAACUGGUGUGAGAGCACGACCAGUCACACGGGCACUGAGACACGGGCCCGACUCCUACGGGAGGCAGCAGUAAGGAAUAUUGGUCAAUGGACGCAAGUCUGAACCAGCCAUGCCGCGUGGAGGAUGAAGGUCCUCUGGAUUGUAAACUUCUUUUAUCUGGGAAGAAACCCACGAUUUCUAUUGUGGUUGACGGUACCAGAUGAAUAAGCACCGGCUAACUCCGUGCCAGCAGCCGCGGUAAUACGGAGGGUGCAAGCGUUAUCCGGAUUCACUGGGUUUAAAGGGUGCGUAGGUGGGUUGGUAAGUCAGUGGUGAAAUCUCCGAGCUUAACUUGGAAACUGCCGUUGAUACUAUCAAUCUUGAAUAUCGCGUAGGUAAGCGGAAUAUGUCAUGUAGCGGUGAAAUGCUUAGAUAUGACAUAGAACACCAAUUGCGAAGGCAGCUUACUUCACGAUCAUUGACACUGAGGCACGAAAGCGUGGGGAGCAAACAGGAUUAGAUACCCUAGUAGUCC
Molecule: ribosomal RNA, 797 nt
Filed under: uncultured bacterium
Lineage: Bacteria
Description: bacterial SSU rRNA
Rfam family: Bacterial small subunit ribosomal RNA
Source: RNAcentral